UCAUCAUAUUGGUAGUAAGCCUAUUCGUGAGAUCAUUUAUCAAAAGGGCGGAAAAGAUGGCAACCCACCGGAUUUGGCAACAAUUUUCUUUGAGACCCGUAAGAAAGAUAACAAGCUUGUUGAACCUGAAGCAAUUGAAAAACAUGCUCAAAUCGAAGAAAUAGUUCAAGCAGAU
Molecule: long non-coding RNA, 175 nt
Organism: Nicotiana attenuata
Lineage: Eukaryota; Viridiplantae; Streptophyta; Magnoliopsida; Solanales; Solanaceae
Exons: 3
Source: RefSeq, a predicted model, not a curated record